This 320-nucleotide long non-coding RNA is filed under the name Numida meleagris (helmeted guineafowl). RNAcentral's name for it is "lncRNA (ENSNMEG00000009317.1)". Lineage: Eukaryota; Metazoa; Chordata; Aves; Galliformes; Numididae. The record is from RNAcentral.
AUGCAAAAUGCAACUCUAAAAACCUCUAGGCAUAUGGAAAACCCAAACUGGGAAUCCCUUGUCACUGAAGUAGGAGGAAAAAUGAUUAUCAUCUCAGACUUUUUUCUACCAUUUAAGUUACUGCAUCUGCAUCACAACACCAGCAAUUCAUAUGGCAUCAUUAUAUAUUGAUUGAAAAAAUGAGUGAAGCAUUAGGAAUAUGGGAAUGAUCUUGGCUCACAGGAAAUUUCAUUAAUCUCUACAGCAGAGGGACCUUGUAGAAAGCAGCAGAUUGAAAGUGAACUGAAGGCUAGGAGCUUGAAGAAUUACCACAAAUGAAU